Long non-coding RNA from Stomoxys calcitrans (stable fly), 452 nucleotides. RefSeq lists it as uncharacterized. NCBI's taxonomy places the organism in Eukaryota, Metazoa, Arthropoda, Insecta, Diptera, Muscidae. The record is from RefSeq and is a predicted model, not a curated record. The transcript is spliced from 3 exons.
UCAGGCAUUGCAAUACCAAAUCGUCAUAAUGAACUAAUUUCCUGCUUUUUAACAUCCAAAACAAAACAAAACUUCUAUGUAUACUUCUCAAAGGCUGUUAGCCGCAAUGUAUGGAGAUGCAGCUCAAAAUUUCUGCCCACUCUUACCCUAAGCCAAAAGAGGAGAAGGAAAAAAUUCCCCAAAUGUCAUCAUUUCCCAAAAAUUGAAUUGUGAGAAUAUUUGGCCACAACAAUGCCCCGGUUCGUGUAUUUGCAAAGAAGCAAAAAAAAAAAUCUUAAACUCAGCUUCAAAACUUAUUUCAAAUCAGCUGUGAACUUCAACGUUGUAUAAGGCUACCGUUUGCAAAGCUAAUGACAUCUUCAUCCAUUCAUCGAUCACCGAAGAGUUGUUAGUAUUUGCAGGGGAUUGGGUGAGCGAAAACGUUUAUAUUUGCUUCUUAACUAACAGAUGAU